GCACCCCCACGCACCGGCCACUGCGGCCUCCAGCACCACCUCCACAUCCACCGUCGGCUGCCCAUAAGCGCUGCGCCGCCGGCCACCCUGCCAACCCAGCGCGAGCCCUUCCCCUUCCCUAUUCCUCCGCCUGGACCCCGACGAUCGACGGAUCUGAGCCCCCUGCCCUCCCGCGCCUUCUCCAUGGCCUCCUCCCCCGCCAGUGGCCGAACUCGUCAAGCUCGACCUCGCUGGAACCCCCGCGGCGAACCACGACCCCGACGGGACCCCACCCACUUCUAGUGGCUCAGACCACCAUGCCUCCACCACGAAACGGCCGCCGGCGACGGCCAAGACCCGGGAUCCAGGGCCACCCGAUGAGGCGCGCGGCCUCACCUGCCCACUACCAUCCUUGUCCGUUCUUUUUCUGCAGGAGCACCAUCUCAGCCCCCGCGCAGUGCGGGCGGUGAGCACGUGCAGUCCGGUGGGCGCGUGCGUGCAACGCGCUGAGUGCGGGCGCUGGAUCAGCACCACCCCCGUGCAGUGCAGGCGGUGAGCACGUGCAGUACGGUGGGCGUGUGUGUGUGCAGCGCGCUGAGUGCGGGCGCCGGAUCAGCACCGCCCCGUGCAGUGAGGACAGUGAGCACGUCCAGUCCGGUGGGCGCGUGCGUGCAGCGCACUGAGUGCGGGCGCCGGGUCAGCGGCUCCCCCCGUGCAGGAUCCCACGGACAGCGCCGGAUCUCGCGACAUUGAGCUUCUCUGCUCGGACAUGGCGGCCUCCCGUCCACCCAGGCUAUGGAGGUGAGCUAAAUCCGGUGAGAUCCUUUCCUCUAUGGUCCCCAACCGUCCAACCUCGCACCCCGGCGGCCUCCUGCAAGCACGGCCAGGUACACUAAUCUCGUCUGGUACACUAACCUCCUCUGCCCGUUACUAGGGGGCAUCUCCGCGCCGCCGUUGCGCCGCUCUACCCCGACACUACAGAGCAAUGGCGGCAACAGGGCUCCUCAUCCUGCCUUGUAGAGCAGCGGUGCAGUUGCUCCAGCCAUGUAGUUUGGCCCGCGGGAACGUGUAGUUAACUUGCACAUGUCGGUUGCUCUCUGCGAGGAACCAAUUUGAUACCAUUUUUAUUUGGGUGAUUCAGCGUUAGAUGCUAAGAGCCAGUUUGGAUCCCCUCCACUCCCUUAAAUUCUUUACUCCGCUCCCUGCUCCUAUACUGUUGGCUCCACGUGCAAAAGCAGGAGUAGAUUUCAUGUUUGGCUGUUGACUCCACUCCAUAUGGUCACGGGAGGGGUUUGCUAUCCACGGGAGAAUAAUUAUUUUAUCAGCCAACCUAUCAGUUGCGGGAGUCACACGCGGAGCUCAGCUUUUGCCACUCCGCCAGAUUGCACUACGGCCGGCUCUGCUCCACUCCUCUGACUCCACGGAGCUGUGGCGUUCGGCGCCGCUCCGGCAGCUCCGGGAGUGGAGUUGCGGAGUGGAGCAGAUCCGAACAGGGCCUAACUCUUGCUUUUGCAUCUUUGCUGAAGGUCCAUAGUGGUUGCAGAUGCAUUGGAGCGAGAGGGCUUCUAGAACCUAGCCUGCAUCACCUGAAGUCUUAAGACACUGAAACCAGCCUUGUUGCUGCUUGUAAUGGCGUUCACUGACCAGGUUGAGCAGAUCUUCGAGUUGGCCGACAUCAAAUUGUGUUUAGGGUCGCCGCUCUUCUAGUUACUCUCUUGAGUUCAUACGUUUCACUAUCAGGGUAUGGAACUCUUCAUGAUUUCGUACUAAAAUUCUUCUAUGGACAAACAAAAUUGGUGCUACUGAUUUAAGCUUAAUGGCACGAACAACAGUUCCUGUUAUGUAGUAUGUGGGCCAGUUAUAAAAUUUGGAUGAACACUAAUUUGAUUUUUGUGUUCUGUUUGAUUCAUUUAGCUGCAGGUUGAGUUUGUCAGUAGGUGUGCUUGAUGAGAUCUCUUUAGACUGAAAAACGAUGUUAGGCUCCAUGUGUAAUAUUUAUGGACUUUCAAAUUUUUUGACUGUUUGUGUAUUUUUGCUGGAGUAAUUUCUUUUUCUCCCAUACUACUUUUUUAUUUUCAGUUUUUAGGGAUUGUUUUGUAAAAAGAUUGGGACCCUAUUUGACUGUACUGCGCAGAUCAUUCCUCAUCUUCGUUCCAGCAGCCCCUGGAGAUCGACGAGAAGUUGACUGCAGUUCAUUUUGUUCGUACAAUGAUUAAAGAAAAUAAAUUAUGGAGUUCACUAGCCUCGGCAAA
Long non-coding RNA from Triticum aestivum (bread wheat), 2231 nucleotides. RefSeq lists it as uncharacterized. NCBI's taxonomy places the organism in Eukaryota, Viridiplantae, Streptophyta, Magnoliopsida, Poales, Poaceae. The record is from RefSeq and is a predicted model, not a curated record. The transcript is spliced from 2 exons.